Molecule: long non-coding RNA, 263 nt
Filed under: Sorghum bicolor (sorghum)
Lineage: Eukaryota; Viridiplantae; Streptophyta; Magnoliopsida; Poales; Poaceae
Description: long non-coding RNA (SBIC_LNC017064)
Source: RNAcentral
UGACUGUGAGCACGGCUGAUAUAUCAGUUUUACACUCUGCAGAGGUGUGCACGUUCACUCCAAGUCGUGAUUCCCAUUUGCCCGGGGUCAUGACUCCCCAAAACACUGCCAAGGUGAGCAGGCAGGGUCACACUACGAGACCUUUUACAGGGUCCAACUAAUAGGAUGCCACUCGCAAGUUUUCGCCGGGGCGCUCGACAGUCGAUACCCAUAGCCAUGGCGUACCGAUCAACCGACAACUUAAUAUUCAUUACCCAAGUUAC